This 487-nucleotide long non-coding RNA is filed under the name Homo sapiens (human). RNAcentral describes it as "non-protein coding lnc-C3orf30-4:3". The record is from RNAcentral. Lineage: Eukaryota; Metazoa; Chordata; Mammalia; Primates; Hominidae.
GAAAAAUACAUGUACCUCAAUAAUUUUAUCAAGGGCAUGUUUUGUGCUAGAUACUACUCUUUAUGUUAGGAAUAUAAGCAAUUGUAUAAGAUACUUACAGAUUGCAGUAAGUGGUAAAAAAUAUAACAUGAAGAGGGAAUAGUGAUGAGAAGGUAACUAUAUAGGGGAGUGGUCAGGGAGUGCUUCACUGAAGAUGUAAAAUAUGAACUGAAACCUAUAUCCUGAUUUAAAAUAGCUUUGCAGAUGUUUUAGGUAAAUAGCAGCAAGCGAACAAUACCAAAGGUUUUUAUUUUUGUAAUUUGAAAUCAAUGUGCAGUAGAAUGACUCCUGCCUGCUACAUUUCCCCAGAUACCCAGGACCUUCAUGCUGUCACUCUCCAUGACCUGACCAACAUCUAUUUUGAGAAAUUAUUUUAUAUACUCAUUCAAACAGGGUUACUUAUUGGUUAUUUAGAAAUUCUGGAUAAAGACUCACAAGUCAAGCGGGG